Long non-coding RNA from Passer domesticus (house sparrow), 5476 nucleotides. RefSeq lists it as uncharacterized. The transcript has 3 exons. The record is from RefSeq and is a predicted model, not a curated record. Lineage: Eukaryota; Metazoa; Chordata; Aves; Passeriformes; Passeridae.
GAACCUAAAGCACAAAAUACUCUGUGGGUCAAAGUUAAGGUUACUAGACAGUAAUGAAAACAGCAUUUUUACCCUCAAUUACAUGGACAAGACAGGAUUGCUGUGCAGCCACAGCUGUUUGUCUCAGGGCUGUGAUGGAUGUUGUCACUUAGCAACCACUGCCAUUUGUGUUUUAACUGCAGCUUUUUUGUUGUUGGCACGUAAUCAGAGUUGUAAUCACGAGAUCAGUCCCAUGGAAGGUGUUUGUUAUCAAGAGUGAUGGGUUUUAGGACUCGCCUGAGCCCCAGCCUAAAUCAGAAAAUUUCAGGUGUGAUGGCUAAUGCAGCUUAAUAAGGGUUUGUUUAGGAGCUGGCUUGGCUGGGCCAAGUCAUGUUUCAAGAUGUGCAGCCCGCAUUCACCAUCUGCCAGCCCUGGCUCUGCAGCUCCUUGGUGCUGGUCCCAGCCUGGUUUGAGGCCAAGGCUCUGAGAGCAGAAGGGAGGGACCAGCCUGGGCAAGCCUGGAUGUCUGUGUGCACCAGAUCCUGCUCCCUUCUGCUGCCCAGCCCGAGAGCCCAGGGAGCGUGGGCUCAGUGGAGACUGGAAAUGUGAGGAGUGAAAGAUAAUGAGAUGGGAGAACUGAAGGUUGAAGGUCUCUGCCUCUUGAGGUUAAUUCUCACCUACCUUGCAUUGACAAUGAGGGAAAAGGGCCAGACCUGUGACAGCUCAAGCUCUAACACUCUGCAGGAACUGGUUAAGGUCUUGGUUUAACACCUGAUCUGAUCUCAUCUAACUAAGAAAUGUCUCUCAAAGAGGUGGGUGCCAGACAUUGGGUUCCUGCCUGGCAUGGAGGUUAAUAACCAGGCAAGUGGGGAGGAACUCGGUUUGCAUGGGCUUGUUCUGGAGGCAGAGGUGUGAAGUAUCCUUGGAGCCCUGCUAUAUGUUCAUUAUUAUGUAAAUAAGCACUUUCAGCUGGUGUGCUCUGAGCAGAGAGUGAGUAUUGGUACCACGGAUAGAAACAUUGUUUUCUUUAAUUCCAUUUUGCUUUAACUGAAGCUGUUGUGCAAUUGCACCUGUAGCUCUGCAGGGACCCUUGGAGAGGGCUGCUCAUCCCCCUUCCAUCGGGGGGUUCAGGAGAGCCCCCAGGUUGUGUUUCCUCACAGUGGCACAUCCUCAGCUCUGCUCUGCCUUGUCCAGAUGAACACACUGCUCCUCCAAACCCCAUUUCUGUGUGUGCUGCUCCAAGGUGAAAGGCAGGAGCUGUCCUACCUCUGGAGCAGCCCGAGGUCUGGCCCUGCUGAAGUGCUGCUUUAUUCUCAGCAGAAGACAAAACCCACUGCUCUGAGGGGAAAAGGCACAGACCACAGCGCUGCUGCUGCUGCUGCAGGAGGAUAAAGGAUGCUCAGCAACACCUCAGUGCUGGGAAAGAACCCACCAUGGUUUGAUCUGCUGCUAAAGGUACUGCUUCCUUUGGGGUUUUUCCUAGGUUGCAGAGAGCUUCUUAGCACAUGGCAAGAUACUGGAGCAAGUUGCAAACUGCACUCUUCCAUAGGUUUUUAAAAAACUGGCAAUUUUUUCUCAGAAAAUCAUGUUACCAUUCAUACUAUGUCUGCUGGUUUCUAAUUGUUACUGAAGGUAAUCACAGAUCAAAUUUAUCUUGAAAAACCUUUAAGUGUAAGUUUCUCUCAAAAAGUUGGAAACUGAGUACUUGAAAAAAGAAUCAGCAAAAUGGACUUGCUUCUGGCUUCAAUUAAAACCAAAGUCAGCAUGUUGGUGUCACUGCUGAGAUCAAACAAGUCUGUGAUCUACAGGAGAAAAUUUGUAAUGCCAAGGAUGAUCAGCUUUUGACUCCUUAAAUGCCACAUUCUGCUCUAGACCUCAAAAUGCACAAGGAGGUGAGAGCUCUGUUUAUAGAAUAAAUACAGAAAGGUCAACACAAGUGUCCCUUAAAACCAGUCUCCAUCAGUUGUAGCUGCUCUGGGUCUAAAAGGAGCCUGCAACAGCUUGUUUUCAGUCACUCUUUUGUUUUUUUAAAUGCUUCCUUAUGUAGGCAUGGUCUAGUGCUUUCUUAAAAGGCAACAAUUUUUAAAGAAAAAGAACAAAUACCAUUCUUAAUGUUUUUACUUGGAAAGAGAAAACGGUUUAUUGGAAACUACACUUUUUUACAAAAAAAUUCAUCAGUAUUAAAGCAAAGAUUUUCUAACCCAUUUAACAGAUAACAAAACCAUCCUUCUCCUCCAGAAGAAAACUGCUUGAGCACUGCUCCCUCAGAGCAAAAGCUGGGUUCAGUAACAGUCAACUUCAUUAUCCUCUAUGGUGCCCACAGCAGCAAGGAUGUCCUGUAAGAGGGACUGAGGGCUUUCCUCCACAUGGUCACUACUUUUAUUUAGCUCAUCAUGCAGCUCCAGUAAGUCUAUUGCUCCCAAAGCUAACAUCAUGCUCUCUGGAUCUUGGAAAUCCACCCCAACAUCACCAUCCACGGGGAAGCUCUGAGCCAGAGAACCCUCUCUCAGUGUCCUCUGUAACCAGGCAAUGCCACGUCCUGCAGGUGAAUCUUCAAUCUCCUGUGGAUUCUCCAAAGUACUCGUGGGGUAGAAAUGACCUCUCAAGCCAACCAGCACAUCACAGGCUCUCUGCCCCACGGGUUUGUCGCAGUCACACAAAGAUCCAAACAAAAACCCAAACAGCUUUGCUUGACAAAACACCUGCAGCACCUCGUUCUGAGGGGUGGAACUUGUCACUGCAGAGGAGACAGGAGCAUAGGGACACGGGGAAAGCUGGCAAAUGGUCUGACUACAGAAAACUUCAACCAGCUCCAAACCACCAAGUCUGACUUCCCAGUCUAAGUCAUGCUCCACAGUCUGGAUGACUCUAGAGACAAACUGCUCUGUAUCUUCCAGCUGACCUGUGCAGCCUUCUCUCAGCCACUUGGUGAAGAUGCUGAUCACAGCCCUCCUGGGAAAGCCCUCUGAGUCUGUUGACAAGAUUUCCUGAAGCUUUGCUACAAUGCUCUAGAUGCAAAAAGACAAAAGAGAAAGUCUCAGUGAGUGGAGGAACACGCAAAGAAACAAAAACAGCAGAGGUGAAAAAUCUCAUUACUGGUUGUGCAACCUGCCUGCAUGAGCAGAUAACUUGUGAAGUUAUAAGCAGUACAGCAGUAAACUGAUGGGAAUUGCUCAUGCAGAAAAGGUUAUCCUACCUCUUUGUUAUAUUGAUUCCCUGUGACAGGUGACUCUGGAGCAAAGCAAGUAAAGGGGGCCAGGUGUCCCACAGCAGUCACGGCGCUCGCUCGCACGUAGCUCUCUGGGUCCUCCAGCAGGUUUUCUGUGAGCCUCAGCACCUCUGAGGACAGGAGACACUGCCUGAACUCCUUCUGGUCUGUAAACAACACAGAAAUCCAAGGAGGUGGGACUUUAUUCCCCCUGAGCAUGAAGCUGUUUCCAAGACAAAGUCCUUUGCCUCAUACAAGGAUGGCUGCUGCCUGCAGGGACCAGGCAGAUGUUCUGUGUCAGGCUCCCCCUCUCCCAGCAGCUUUUAGUAAAGUCCUGACAGACACUGGAACUUGGAAAAUUGCACUUAGAGUUGUUUUAGCAGCAAGAAAAAACUUUCUGCAGGCAAGUGGGGACAUGGUUCCAGCCUCAUCAAAUUUAUGCCUUUGCUUAAAGGAAGAAAAAAUAGUCCUCCUUUCCUGUUGUCAGGCAUAUGGCAGAGAAAACAAAAGUAACUGCAGCACUGAGAGGGGCUGCAGGGUAAAGUGCUAAUGCAGCUGAGCAUGUUAGAUACUUCCUUUGUGACCUGGGGACAACAGCAGUUGAUAACAUUCCCCUCCCUUCCAACACUGCAGAGCUACUGUAAGAAAACUAGCAUCGCCUCAGUGCUACCUGCUGCAAGGCCUGAGCUAUCAGUAAAGUAGAAAAUCAGUAAUUAACCCAAAGCAUAUAAAGCAGGUCUAGGCUUUUAGCCUCCUAAAGGCCAGCCCCCAGCCUGUUGAAAGAAACCAGACUUCGGUGCAGAGCAAACUGAAAACUGGAAAGUGUUAUCUGCCAUUAAGCACUGUCACCUGCCUUGACAGACAUGUCUCAACAGCCCUCAGUUUGACUCACCAAAACUGUCAGUAAGGCAGGCACAGCAAUCUGAGUUCAACAGAAAAAACAGGCCCUCCAGUUACAGGUCAGAAGAUGCUUCACCAGCCUGACUGACUCUCACAGCGUUAAAAGAAAUACUCCUGAAAUCUGAACUGGUAAAUCUUUGCACCUACCUCCCAAGCACUUAACCAUGGAAGUGAGGAACUCCAGGGAAGAAUCUCUUACUUCCCAGCAAGGACUGCACAAACGUUUCUGCAGCACCACCAACACAUCUGUAAAAGGCAAGUGACAAACCUGAAUGGACAUGAAAGGCAACAAACCUCACUGAAACACUCACUGUACAACCUGUGCAUCACUUAAUCUCAUACAAUCCCUUUUGCUGCUGCUGGGUGCUUCUUCCAGAGUUCUGCAAAGCAUUAUUUGGGCAGCUAAACUUAAAUUCAACAUAAUUGUGAACAAGUGAAUCCAGUUCCAUUAGCUGCUGUUUGCCCCAGCUGGAACAGCUUCAUUACCUUCCAAAAUCUUCUCAGUUUGUUGCCACUGACUGUUGGAGGAGGACAGUUCCUUCAAGUGCACCAACCACCUGGAUGUAGCUUGAAAGGUUUUCUUUAGAACCUGAAGCAAUAUAAAGCAGAUUGACUUUACUACAGGAGGAGGCAGUGUUGCCUUUAUGCUUUAAAGGUAAAAUUCAUUUCAGCCUCAAACUUACAGAGAAACUCUCAGAGUAAACAAGUGCAUACGACUCCUUAUUAAGAAGCCAACCACAAAUAAAUGGUGUUUAAAUAACAUUUCUAACAAACACCUAGAAAAUCCCUGUGUUCAGCUUAGAUUACAAAGUUCUAGUGUCUCCAGCUUUGGAUUUGCAGCUGCCAUCAGAGUCAUUCAAACAAAACAAAGCAAAACACCCCCUUAAUAAAAAGAAUUCAAUACUUCAUGACCAUCUCAAGGGGAGUAUGCCAGUGCUACUCUUAGACAUGAUGGCUCCUGUCUUCUCAAGCACUCUCAAUGUGCUGUCAGUUACUUGCUCCUUACAAUUUUAGCUAUUUUCUGCAAGCCACCCAGGACAAGACAAGUGUCCUACACAUUCUAAUACAAAGUGUGCUAAGAAACAACUGCAGUCAGACCCUUUAUGAGAAUUACACCCCACUGGGGCAAACUAAUAGACCUGGAUCUCUCCUAGUUCUAUACUCACAGUAGGGCUGGUGUUUGGACUCUGCAGAUAUGCCAGAAGGACAUCAAACAGACUUCCUAUGAGAGUGUCACAGUCUGAAACAGAGAAAACAAACCCAAGGGACCAAUACUGAGAGAUGGAGCAGCCAAAUCCCUGCUGAAAUACACAAAGACGCAGAAUUGUAAAAUUGUUUUGGAUAAGAAAGCAAAGAUUAACUCACCUUUUUUCUCUGAGAGUGCUGCAA